AACGCGAAGAACCUUACCUACCCUUGACAUCCAGAAGAUUCUGCAGAGAUGCAGGAGUGCCGAAAGGAAUUCUGAGACAGGUGCUGCAUGGCUGUCGUCAGCUCGUGUUGUGAGAUGUUGGGUUAAGUCCCGUAACGAGCGCAACCCUUAUGCUUAGUUGCCAACACGUAAAGGUGGGGACUCUAAGGAGACUGCCGGUGAUGAACCGGAGGAAGGCGGGGACGACGUCAAGUCAUCAUGGCCUUUAUGGGUAGGGCUACACACGUGCUACAAUGGUCAGUACAGAGGGCAGCGAAAGCGCGAGCUCGAGCCAAUCCCGCAAAGCUGAUCGUAGUCCGGAUCGGAGUCUGCAACUCGACUCCGUGAAGUCGGAAUCGCUAGUAAUCGCGAAUCAGAAUGUCGCGGUGAAUACGUUCCCGGGCCUUGUACACACCGCGUGUCU
Molecule: ribosomal RNA, 442 nt
Filed under: uncultured bacterium
Lineage: Bacteria
Description: bacterial SSU rRNA
Rfam family: Bacterial small subunit ribosomal RNA
Source: RNAcentral